UCUCUGCCCAACCACAUUGUUUUAUUUGAUUCAGAAGAACAAAAAUUGAGGAACCUUUUAAUUUCAUUCGAUUAUAGAGAGGAAAAAAGAUUUUUUAAUGCUCACUUCAAGGUUGAUCGUGAUCUUCAAGCUUCAAUUGUUGUAUACGUUCGAACAAGAUAGCAAUAUUCACCUAUUAUGCAGCAAAUUUGGCAUCGUGCCAGUUCAUUUAUCAUUUCUUCCCGUAGCUGCACUCCAAUUUUAAUUCUGAACACAAGUUGGACUCCAACUUAUCCUACAUUCUCUACUCCCUUGGACUUUAUUUGCGCGCUUCUCUCA
Molecule: non-coding RNA, 318 nt
Organism: Cajanus cajan (pigeon pea)
Lineage: Eukaryota; Viridiplantae; Streptophyta; Magnoliopsida; Fabales; Fabaceae
Source: RefSeq, a predicted model, not a curated record